GAUGAACGCUGGCGGCGUGCCUAAUACAUGCAAGUCGAGCGAACGGACGAGAAGCUUGCUUCUCUGAUGUUAGCGGCGGACGGGUGAGUAACACGUGGAUAACCUACCUAUAAGACUGGGAUAACUUCGGGAAACCGUAGCUAAUACCGGAUAAUAUUUUGAACCGCAUGGUUCAAAAGUGAAAGACGGUCUUGCUGUCACUUAUAGAUGGAUCCGCGCUGCAUUAGCUAGUUGGUAAGGUAACGGCUUACCAAGGCAACGAUGCAUAGCCGACCUGAGAGGGUGAUCGGCCACACUGGAACUGAGACACGGUCCAGACUCCUACGGGAGGCAGCAGUAGGGAAUCUUCCGCAAUGGGCGAAAGCCUGACGGAGCAACGCCGCGUGAGUGAUGAAGGUCUUCGGAUCGUAAAACUCUGUUAUUAGGGAAGAACAUAUGUGUAAGUAACUGCGCACAUCUUGACGGUACCUAAUCAGAAAGCCACGGCUAACUACGUG
This 497-nucleotide ribosomal RNA is filed under the name uncultured bacterium. RNAcentral's name for it is "partial 16S ribosomal RNA". It matches the Rfam family "Bacterial small subunit ribosomal RNA", at positions 28 to 507 of the family's 1533-position model. The record is from RNAcentral.